This 214-nucleotide non-coding RNA is filed under the name Turicibacter sp. RNAcentral's name for it is "T-box sequence". It matches the Rfam family "T-box leader". Rfam says of the family: Uncharged tRNA acts as the effector for transcription antitermination of genes in the T-box leader family. The record is from RNAcentral. Lineage: Bacteria; Bacillati; Bacillota; Erysipelotrichia; Erysipelotrichales; Turicibacteraceae.
AAUAAACCUUUGAUUGAGAAAUAGUAGUUUAAGUGUCAUUUUAAAGAGAGUCGAUGGCUGGUGUGAAUCGAUAAAUGUCUUAAAUGAAUGGGCUCAUGAGUGGAACCUGAAUAAAAAGAGUAAGGAACCCGGUAAACUCCCGUUAUGAGUAUGAAGUGGAAUAAACAAGGAUUUAUUCUAUUGAGGUGGUACCGCGGUUUUUAUCGUCCUCUAU